AUGUGCCCCUCGUGCACUGAGGUCUUGCGUGCGCGGUCUGCACCCACCUGACGACGGCGCGCUACGGUUUGCUAGCC
RNAcentral lists this small RNA (77 nucleotides) under Xanthomonas vesicatoria. RNAcentral describes it as "sX9". It matches the Rfam family "Xanthomonas sRNA sX9". RNAcentral also lists the same sequence under 1 other name. Lineage: Bacteria; Pseudomonadati; Pseudomonadota; Gammaproteobacteria; Lysobacterales; Lysobacteraceae. The record is from RNAcentral.